UAACCUCUAAUUUGCCAACCAACUGCUUCUGUAACGUGCCUGAGAAACGAACGUGAUUCGUUGGUUCACAGUACUUUCCCCGCCAUUUCACCCCUCAUUUACGUUCUUUACCCACCCCACUUUUUGAAAACGUCAUUUACAUGUCUCAUCGCUAUGAGAAAUGCUUAAACAUCUUCCAGCUUCUUGUUCCCCCGCAUCCUAUUUUAAAUAAGUUUAGCGGUUGCAUGGGACCAGCAUCGAUCUUCAUGCGAUUGGAUGCGCAAACGUGGAACCAAAAGCGGGGGACCUUCUAGGCUUAAAGAUCCGAACUCUAACUGCGUACGGAGAUCGUCCCCGCGGAAAAGUCUUUGUUGUGUUUACCCUGUUUACUCUCAUUAUAUCUGCACUAGAAUAGUAAGUUUUGCAGCCCAACAUGGAAACAUGCCAUAGUAGUUGCUUUCUCUAUGCCGAGCGAAGCCUUGCACGUUGAUCAAAACCGGUAUUAUUAUGGUGAUUAGCUGGUUCAGCAGUGUAGAUUUGCUGUUUUGUUGCAGCACAGAAAAGUUUAUUGUUGGUCAAAUUUCCACCGAUUACUAAAUGUCCAUUUGACAAAUGCGAUGACCCGUUACAACUAAGUUUGAAGGGUUGCAUUAUUGAUGCCUUAACUCCACAGCGCGCAACCUUUUUACGUCAGUAACUAUAGUAGACGAACGCUAAAAUAGCUGUUAUAUUAAAGCGGAAUCCUUCUUAUGAAUAUUUCAUUUCUUCUAU
Non-coding RNA from Schizosaccharomyces pombe (fission yeast), 750 nucleotides. The record is from the annotation of a GenBank genome assembly. Lineage: Eukaryota; Fungi; Ascomycota; Schizosaccharomycetes; Schizosaccharomycetales; Schizosaccharomycetaceae.